CUGUUAAGCUCGUAGUUGGAUCAAGAGUCGGACAGUGCACGGUGGCCCUGUUUGUCAUAGUGGUUCCGAUCACUGUGGCGGCAGCGGAUCAACCCCGUGCGCCAAACUGUCCGCUCUAAUCGACCGAAGCGGUUCCCUGUGAGUAGGCUCCUUUAUUGGGGCUGAAAGCGCUUACGCAUUAACCAUAUGCAUACGGGACGUCGGUCAAUGUUACUGUGAACAAACCAGCGUGUCCAAAACAGGCUUUCGCCUGAAUGUUCGAGCAUGGAAUAACAAGGGAUCGAUUCUCUCGGUUCUUUUUGUUGGUUUUUAACCCGAGAAGGAGUAAUUCAGGCCACGGUGUCUGAGUUGGGUUUCCCUUCACCUCGGUGGAGGCCCCAAUUAGGCCGUGUCCUUACGGGAUAAAUAGGGACUGACGGGGUCGUACGUACUUCCACGUCAGAGGUGAAAUUCUUAGAUCGUGGGAAGACGAACUUCUGCGAAAGCAUUCGACAAGAAUGUCUUCAUUAAUCAAGAACGAGAGUGUGGGGAUCGAAGAUGAUCAGAUACCGUCGUAGUCCACUACUGUAAACAAUGCCGUCUCAGGAUUGAGAAGUGAACAGAAUGACUUUCACAGCACUAACCCCUGAAACGAGAAAUCAAAGAUUAUGGGUUCAGGGGGGAGUACAUUCGCAAGGCUGAAACUUAAAGGAAUUGACGGAAUGACACCACAAGGCGUGGAGUAUGCGGCUUAAUUUGACUCAACACGGGGA
Molecule: ribosomal RNA, 752 nt
Filed under: uncultured eukaryote
Lineage: Eukaryota
Description: bacterial SSU rRNA
Rfam family: Eukaryotic small subunit ribosomal RNA
Source: RNAcentral